UCGUCACACUAUCAUUAACUGAAUCCAUAGGUUAAUGAGGCGAACCGGGGGAACUGAAACAUCUAAGUACCCCGAGGAAAAGAAAUCAACCGAGAUUCCCCCAGUAGCGGCGAGCGAACGGGGAGGAGCCCAGAGCCUGAAUCAGCAUGUGUGUUAGUGGAAGCGUCUGGAAAGGCGCGCGAUACAGGGUGACAGCCCCGUACACAAAAGCGCAUGUGCUGUGAGCUCGAUGAGUAGGGCGGGACACGUGGUAUCCUGUCUGAAUAUGGGGGGACCAUCCUCCAAGGCUAAAUACUCCUGACUGACCGAUAGUGAACCAGUACCGUGAGGGAAAGGCGAAAAGAACCCCGGCGAGGGGAGUGAAAAAGAACCUGAAACCGUGUACGUACAAGCAGUGGGAGCCCCACCACCAAAGCAUUUGCUGUACCGCGUUGACGGAGCGAAGCGACGUCAAACCGAUAAAACAGCAGUGUAAAGUGAGCCGCAGGGCGCUUUGCGCGACAGCGCAAAGGCAGGCGGUUUCGCGUAGCGAAAGCGAAUGCUUUGGGGUGG
This 552-nucleotide ribosomal RNA is filed under the name Salmonella enterica subsp. enterica. Its description in RNAcentral is "partial 23S ribosomal RNA". The stretch from base 1 to 387 matches the Rfam family "Bacterial large subunit ribosomal RNA", at positions 140 to 565 of the family's 2925-position model. Lineage: Bacteria; Pseudomonadati; Pseudomonadota; Gammaproteobacteria; Enterobacterales; Enterobacteriaceae. RNAcentral also lists the same sequence under 1 other name. The record is from RNAcentral.